Molecule: long non-coding RNA, 1479 nt
Filed under: Felis catus (domestic cat)
Lineage: Eukaryota; Metazoa; Chordata; Mammalia; Carnivora; Felidae
Description: lncRNA (ENSFCAG00000043684.2)
Source: RNAcentral
AAAAAACACUAAUUGAUGGGUUAAUUUUGGGAAUCUUAUAUUUACCUUUGCUCAGAGAAAAGUCUACCUCUUUAAAAUUUUUUUUAGUGUUUAUUUUAUUAUUUUUGAGAGAGAGAGAGAGAGAGUACAAGCAGGGUAGGGGCAGAGAGAGAGGGAGUCAUAGAAUCCAAAGCAGGCUCCAGGCUCUGAGCUGUCAGCACAGAGCCUGAUUCAGGGCUUGAAUUCACAAACCAUGAGAUCAUGACCUGAACUGAAGUCGGAUGCUCAACAACUGAGCCACCCAGGUGCCCUAAAAGUCUACCUCUUCUAUGUAUUUACAAUCUGAGGGAGACACACUGAGGCAGAUAGACACCAAAAGGAAGUAGACACAACUAAUUAACAAACACUGGAUAAACACAAAUAGAUAAGAGUAAAUAUUGGCUUCGAAUUCUAUCACAUUUCACAGAAGAGAACCUUGUUCCCACAGACAGAGAGCCAUCAUUAUGUCCCAGCAUCCCUCGAUUCCGCAGGGAUUGAAAGUCCCCAAGGAAAUGUGAUGUGACCUGUGAUGUACCAUUUUGGACCAGUCAGAAGGUGUGAAGGGCUUCUAGGACUUUGUUUAAAAGGGCCAAUGGAAAUGAGGAAGGAGGAGAGGCAGUGUUUUGGCCCCUGAUUGGUCGAAGAGAGUGACAAAAUGGAGAAAAGGAGGAAAGAACCAUCAAAUCCUGCAGCUGCAUCUGGAAGAAGAAGACUAAGAUGUUCCAGGUUUAAUUACCAGAAUGUGGGAGGCGACCUUGGAAGAGCAGUUCCAGGAGCUGAAUGCCUGGAUAUCGAAGAAAGAGAGUCAUGCACAGAGCUAAGUCAGACCGCAAAAGAGAACAAAGCUGUGGCAACAGGGAGACUCCUCAAGUUCUUUCUGUCUAUGGACUUCAAAGUUCCAUUUGUUCAGAAGGAGACCAAUUUUGGGUCAGAGGUUGUUUCUGAGCAUGCAGUGAAGGUAAGACAGAGCGUGAGUAGUUAAAUAUGCAUGAAAACUGGGUAUGUCCUACAGUUACUCAAGUUCAAAGGGGCAUCUGCUUUGAGCACUCUUCCUUUGAAGUGGAAGCUGGUCCCUGAUGCCAGCUUUCUGUGUUCCCAAAAGAGGAGAAAUUUUUGUUGCCACAAAUAGACUAGAAAUGCUUUUGAGUGUAUUAUUUGGCUGGAUUUUUGGACUCUUAAUUCUACUGGAAUAAGAUUCAUAAGCUUUCAGUCCCUGGUGAAUAACCCAUAAAUAUCUUGCAAAUUCUAAGAGGGCUCGGCAUGGGUGUUUUCCACAAGGUGUGAUGGCUGGUGUGACUCAGGACAGGUGCCUACACAUUUUUAGAUGAAACUCAGGCUGCCAUUCCCAGGGGCAUUCUCUCCAAGGAUGGACUCACGUCCAGGAGAGGCUGGAUCCUCUGACAAAUGAUGUCUUAUGGUUGAUGUAUCUGUUUCCAAUAAACCACGUUUUAUAGUCUGUCA